GACGAACGCUGGCGGCGUGCUUAACACAUGCAAGUCGAACGGAAAGGCCCUGCUUAUGUGGGGUGCUCGAGUGGCGAACGGGUGAGUAACACGUGAGUAACCUGCCCUUGACUUUGGGAUAACUUCAGGAAACUGGGGCUAAUACCGGAUAGGAGCUCCUGCUGCAUGGGGGGGGUUGGAAAGUUUCGGCGGUUGGGGAUGGACUCGCGGCUUAUCAGCUUGUUGGUGGGGUAGUGGCUUACCAAGGCUUUGACGGGUAGCCGGCCUGAGAGGGUGACCGGCCACAUUGGGACUGAGAUACGGCCCAGACUCCUACGGGAGGCAGCAGUGGGGAAUAUUGCACAAUGGGCGGAAGCCUGAUGCAGCAACGCCGCGUGCGGGAUGACGGCCUUCGGGUUGUAAACCGCUUUCGCCUGUGACGAAGCGUGAGUGACGGUAAUGGGUAAAGAAGCACCGGCUAACUACGUG
RNAcentral lists this ribosomal RNA (468 nucleotides) under uncultured bacterium. RNAcentral describes it as "partial 16S ribosomal RNA". It matches the Rfam family "Bacterial small subunit ribosomal RNA", at positions 28 to 507 of the family's 1533-position model. The record is from RNAcentral.